AGAUUGAACGCUGGCGGCAGGCCUAACACAUGCAAGUCGAGCGGCAGCACGGGUACUUGUACCUGGUGGCGAGCGGCGGACGGGUGAGUAAUGCCUAGGAAUCUGCCUGAUAGUGGGGGAUAACGCUCGGAAACGGACGCUAAUACCGCAUACGUCCUACGGGAGAAAGCAGGGGACCUUCGGGCCUUGCGCUAUCAGAUGAGCCUAGGUCGAUUAGCUAGUUGGUGGGUAAUGGCUCACCAAGGCGACGAUCCGUAACUGGUCUGAGAGGAUGAUCAGUCACACUGGAACUGAGACACGGUCCAGACUCCGUACGGGAGGCAGCAGGUGGGAAUAGUUGGACGAGUGGGACAAAGCCUAGACUCCAGCCAGUGCCGCGUGUGUAGAAGAAGGUCCUACGGAUUAGUAAA
This 410-nucleotide ribosomal RNA is filed under the name uncultured soil bacterium. RNAcentral's name for it is "bacterial SSU rRNA". It matches the Rfam family "Bacterial small subunit ribosomal RNA", at positions 26 to 429 of the family's 1533-position model. The record is from RNAcentral.